RNAcentral lists this microRNA precursor (76 nucleotides) under Eisenia fetida (common brandling worm). RNAcentral's name for it is "Efe-Mir-2691-P4_pre stem-loop". The record is from RNAcentral. Lineage: Eukaryota; Metazoa; Annelida; Clitellata; Crassiclitellata; Lumbricidae.
CGCGAUGAUGCUUUGCCAAAACCGACAAAAAGUUCGUUUUCGUCAAGGACGAGGUUUUGCAAUGUAUCACAGCUGG